Long non-coding RNA from Aedes aegypti (yellow fever mosquito), 774 nucleotides. RefSeq lists it as uncharacterized. The transcript has 2 exons. The record is from RefSeq and is a predicted model, not a curated record. Lineage: Eukaryota; Metazoa; Arthropoda; Insecta; Diptera; Culicidae.
ACUCAGUAUUAAAUAAAAUUCAAAAGUGGACAGCUUAGCCCGACGUUACGGUACUUGGAUUGCUGAUAUCUUUCAGCAUACAUAACUCUACGUAAACAUUAAUCUCGCGAGCAUAGUAAUACUCUUACUUAACACCGAUUCUGAUUCAUUCUCAGUCGAGCUGCUCUAGACGUAAGUAAUCUACUUCGAAUUAGUGAUCUUGAUUGGUUUGUUACAAAUAAUUAAUCAACAAGGAUAUUUGAUACAUCUGACGAAAAAUAAUUGUGUCCAAGUCGUUUGAAAUCUGUCUCAUCAAAAUGUUUUGCGGGAGCGGUUUUGUACCAGCAUUCUGCAUAAUUUGCUGCCUUCUCAUUGUGCCAUCUUCAUCGAAAUAUGAAGUGUGUAGAUCAAGAGUAUACGAAGAACGCGUUAAUCUUACACUAGGAAACAAUAUCCCUACAGCGAUGCAAUCAUACCGAAUUUACUACGGAGAAGUUUGCGACAAUUCAAAAGACAGCGAAUGCUCGUACAUCGACCCCUCAAAGCUUCGGGCGGGAUAUCGGGCAGUAUGCAAGCAGGAUUUUCUUCAAGUGCGCUUCGAGGUAUACGAUUAUGACAAUAGGAUCUCGAAAACGGAUAAUGUUUUUGUGCCAUCUGGAUGCAUUUGUCAGUUAGUCGAACUGGAUUGAUUUUUUUUAAAUAAGUAGUAUGUACCACUUUUAUCUGAUCCUAAAAACUGUAUAUCUAGCAUAGGAGUGUAUUACGUAUUCUGAACAAAACAAUAGUAUCAUACAU